UACGUAGGGUGCAAGCGUUGUCCGGAAUUAUUGGGCGUAAAGAGCUCGUAGGCGGUCUGUUGCGUCGGCUGUGAAAACCCGAGGCUCAACCUCGGGCCUGCAGCCGAUACGGGCAGACUAGAGUUCGGCAGGGGAGACUGGAAUUCCUGGUGUAGCGGUGAAAUGCGCAGAUAUCAGGAGGGAACACCGGUGGCGAAGGCGGGUCUCUGGGCCGAUACUG
RNAcentral lists this ribosomal RNA (220 nucleotides) under uncultured bacterium. RNAcentral's name for it is "partial 16S ribosomal RNA". It matches the Rfam family "Bacterial small subunit ribosomal RNA", at positions 524 to 742 of the family's 1533-position model. The record is from RNAcentral.